AGUUAAUUACUAAGACAGUAUUAUGUUUUGAAAGCAUAAUUAAGAGGUUACAUUCCUCUAUUAACUU
This 67-nucleotide transfer RNA is filed under the name Cyrtonotula maculosa. RNAcentral describes it as "tRNA-Ser". The record is from RNAcentral. Lineage: Eukaryota; Metazoa; Arthropoda; Insecta; Blattodea; Blaberidae.